AGCAAAGUGGGUGGGUGGGUGGGUGGGUAUGGGGGGUUCUUCGGGGGGGAUGGGGGUGGGCUUUGUGGGAAGCGAGCCAAAGGACAAUGCCACUCAGAUGAUGCCACGUGGAAGCCUUGUCCAUAUUGGAGUCCUGACUAAUCCGGAUCGCGCGUUACAGGGCCCAUUAAGGUGACAGAGCUCCCAAUAGAGUUUUCUUCAUACCCAGGGUCGAACCCUCGACGUUUGGUUAAGGGUGGAGCAGCCUCAUCCACUGCACCACAACCCAUGUUAUAACAGUUGUAGCUUAGCUUUUAUUGUUAGUUUUCUUAAUAAAGGAAAAAUGGAAAUGGAUUUGGGCCUAAAUUCUAAUUAAAGAUGUUUAUAAUUUAUAUUA
Molecule: long non-coding RNA, 376 nt
Organism: Capsicum annuum
Lineage: Eukaryota; Viridiplantae; Streptophyta; Magnoliopsida; Solanales; Solanaceae
Exons: 2
Source: RefSeq, a predicted model, not a curated record